CGGGUGAGUAACGCGUGGGUAACCUGCCUCAUACAGGGGGAUAACAGUUGGAAACGGCUGCUAAUACCGCAUAAGCGCACAGAGCUGCAUGGCUCAGUGUGAAAAACUCCGGUGGUAUAAGAUGGACCCGCGUUGGAUUAGCUUGUUGGUGGGGUAACGGCCCACCAAGGCGACGAUCCAUAGCCGGCCUGAGAGGGUGAACGGCCACAUUGGGACUGAGACACGGCCCAG
This 231-nucleotide ribosomal RNA is filed under the name uncultured bacterium. RNAcentral's name for it is "partial 16S ribosomal RNA". It matches the Rfam family "Bacterial small subunit ribosomal RNA", at positions 103 to 334 of the family's 1533-position model. The record is from RNAcentral.